RNAcentral lists this unclassified non-coding RNA (724 nucleotides) under Hevea brasiliensis (rubber tree). The record is from RNAcentral. Lineage: Eukaryota; Viridiplantae; Streptophyta; Magnoliopsida; Malpighiales; Euphorbiaceae.
AAUAGACAUAAGCACACUGUCACUUUUCAUUUAAGUUUUUUACUGAAAAGAGACAUAUUCAUAUUUAAGAGAGUUUAACACUCUCUCAAGUUAACCAAAAAAGAUGUAAGUUCACAACAUAUUAUGAUAGUAAUUCACCAUAAAGCAAAAAAAGAAUCUGAAAAAUAGCACUAGACAAGCAUUCACAACUGGUCUUUUUUUCUGGCAAGCAUCUAGCAGAUUGGAAGAGGAGCACCAUUCCAGCUCUUGAGACACUCCAACAAUGGAUCAAUGAUCUGUCCAUUGCACAUUGCUGUGAACACCUUGUCGAUCUCCUCACCGGGUGAUCGAACUUUUUCACCUGUCAAAAGUUCUGAUCCAAGUUCUUGUCUCACCAACCUGUACAAUGGAUAUGAUCUGCAUUCUGUGAUCCUGUUAGGAAUUGCAGGGUUGCCACUUUCAACAACAGCUCUUGCACUCUCAACUUCUUUAGGCAACACGGCCUUUAAUUCGUCCUCGAAAGCUACAAUCUUUUGGAAGAUUGAGCUGUUCACAUUCUUCUCACUUUCACCAUUCUUCAUUGCAUGAUCAACAAGGACUUGUCUCAGCUUCUGCAUCAAAGGGUAGGUGGAGCUGCAGGGGUCAUCAGCAUAGGUAAACAAAUAUUCCCUUUCCACCACUUGUAGCAAUUCCUAAUGGCGAACUUCAUCCAGCAAGAUUCUGCGAAAAGGAAUUGCUACAAGUG